Molecule: long non-coding RNA, 423 nt
Filed under: Gouania willdenowi (blunt-snouted clingfish)
Lineage: Eukaryota; Metazoa; Chordata; Actinopteri; Blenniiformes; Gobiesocidae
Description: lncRNA (ENSGWIG00000025289.1)
Source: RNAcentral
AAAUGUCUGUGCAGUGUAGCAGAAACUGUGUACAGCUGAGUAGUUGGCGCUCGCCUGCAGGGCUGCUGCAUGUACGAGGGAAUACAAAAUGACAGCUUCUAUCUAAAGCUGUCGGACUGCACGACACAAGGAAAAGCUCCAGGGUCAGCGCUAAAAAUAUGUGGACUCAUCCUCAUGCUGAAAGCUCACUUUGCCAUAAACCAAUAAUGUGCCAGAAAAUGAAGACGUCAAACAUCAUGUAACAGCAGAAAUGCAGCAGGAAGCUGCUGAGGCUGGGUGUUGUUUCCUCUUGCUGUGCUAAACGUGGGAUGCAGCAAUCAGUCUGCUGCAUGUGCAGAACGACCUAAGUUUAGAUCUUAUCAUGUGUGACAUAAGCAACAAAUGACAUUGGAUGACAAUAAACAGUGAUUGGCUUAGGAGUCA